This 204-nucleotide long non-coding RNA is filed under the name Elaeis guineensis (African oil palm). Its description in RNAcentral is "long non-coding RNA (EGUI_LNC024126)". Lineage: Eukaryota; Viridiplantae; Streptophyta; Magnoliopsida; Arecales; Arecaceae. The record is from RNAcentral.
GCCAUGACGGACGUCGGCAAGACCAGUUGAAUCGAUGGAGGAAUUUUCGAUGCCAAUGAUUGAAUUCGAUUGUCAGCCUGGCUGGCCACCUUUCAGAAGAUGGCGGCAUUAGAAAACUGAGAAGAUGUCUGUUGGGUAUAAAAUACCCCCCAACCGAAGUUCAUGACAGGAGUGACCCUCAGGGGAUCCAACCGACUUUCGACC